Molecule: long non-coding RNA, 9587 nt
Filed under: Malus domestica (apple)
Lineage: Eukaryota; Viridiplantae; Streptophyta; Magnoliopsida; Rosales; Rosaceae
Description: long non-coding RNA (MDOM_LNC004924)
Source: RNAcentral
AAUCACGAAACUUCUAAGUAUCGGAGUGUGGUAUCGUCUUGACUUGCCUUAUCUGUCUCAUAGGUAGAUGUGGUAUCUUUAACUCGUGGAGAUGCACAAGGUAAUGUAUCAAUUUUACUUGAAGCUUACUUGUAGUUUCAGGCUUGGUCAAGCGCGAUACAAACCAUGUAGUAGGAAUCCCCCAAGUCGCCGAGCUAGGGGAUCUGCUGAAAGAGGUGACAGACAAGGUAAGCAAUCAGAGCUCCGGCUGAUUGUUCACCUUUUCCCCAUCUUGUAGCAGCAUGAAGGAUAAAGAGAAGAAAAAUGAGAAGAUAUGAUAUGGGAUACUUUUGCUUUUGAAGAAGUAACUUUCCACAUGCUUAUUCUUGAACUGAGCUGGAGGGUUUUCUGGUGUCCUCCAGAGUAUAAGGCCGACUGAAGAAUUUGAGGGUCAAAACAAGUCCAUCAAAUCUAGAGUACGUUCGACCCUGCUGAUAUGGGAUACUUUUGCUUUUGACAGAGUAAUGGAUGUAUCGACACGUGUGCUGUUACGCUUGUCUCCACAUGCUUCCUUAUAUCCUUCGCACUUGCCCUAUCUGUUCCUCAAGCAGAUGUGGUAUCUUCCCUGGAAGCAUAAGAUGUUGAAGAUGAGUACUCGAGAGCAAUGCCAGGUAAGUAAUCAGGUAAGGGGUUCCAGGCAGUCAGUUCCUGGCUGGAAGCUUGAUUCCAAGUGCUGACUGAUUGCUCUCUUUCUCCUACUCGAGAGCAAUGCCAGGUAAGUAAUCAGGUAAGGGGUUCCAGGCAGUCAGUUCAUGGCUGAAAGCUUGAUUCCAAGUGCUGACUGAUUGCUCUCUUUCUCCUUGUCUUGCAGGUAAGAACAAGGCCAAAGGAAAAGACAGGGAAAAAGCAUGAUAUGGGAUACUCUUGCUUUUAACCCUGAUGAUAUGAGAUAUUCUUGCUCUAGUAUAGCUUGUUUGCAGAGGUAUUAUCGGGGGGAAAGAAAGCUGAAUAUUUCGAAAGGCUUCGUUGGGAGUGCCCUCUCAGAUAUGAGGAAGGGUUGAGCAUUUUUGCAGGUCUGCCUGUCCGUUGGGGAUAAAGGUCGACAUAUAUAGGAGUCUCCCUAACAACAAGUAGUAAUGCUAUUCCUUUACCCUGCUUGGUCCUAGCACGGUAGUGGGAGCUGCCAGCUUCACAUGUUUUAACUCUGUCAGAGAACUUUGAAAAAGUGGUAUGUGAUAUAUGGCUCUCGAGAAUCGAAGAACGAUGCCUCUUCGAUUUUUGAGAAAGCAAUCAUGCUGGGGGUCUGGCUCUCGAGAUUCGGAGAGCAGUGUCUCUUCGAUUUUUGAGAAAGUAAUCAUGUUGGGAGUCUGGCUUCGGAGGGCGGUGCCUCUUUGAUUUUGGAGCAAGCAAAAGUGUUUUCUCGAAUGUGAGUAAAGGUUGGGCAUGUUUACUAGUCUACCUUGCCACGAAGCACAUAGGUUGACACACAGGGACUUUCCAAUUAUCCAGCAAUGGUACUGUUCCUUUACUGUCUCUUCGAUUUUGAGAAAGUAGUCAUGUUGGGAGUCUGGCUCUCGAGAUUCGGAGGACGGUGCCUCUUCGAUUUUGGAGCAAACAAUCUUGUUGGGAGUGUUUUCUCGAAUGUGAGUAAAGGUUGGGCAUGUUUGCUAGUUACCUUGCAACGAAGCACAUAGGUUGACACACAGGGACUUUCCAAUUAUCCAGCAGUGGUACUGUUCCUUUACCCUUGUGGGUAAUAAUAUGGUAGCUAGACCUUCAAAAUAUAUGUGUCUAAACUUUGUUAGUGUUGUUUCUUUGCUAUUCUUUUACCUUUCUUGGUCAGAGCGACGUAGUGGGAGCUGAAAGCUUCACGUGCUCAACUUUGGCAGAGAACUUUGGCAAAGUUAUCUGUGGUACCCAUGAGCUAUUGUUGCGUGUGGGAAGUGGGUGAUUGAACAAUAAGAUUCAUGUGCUUUCUACUUCACCAGAAGUCUUCGACAGAAUGCCCAUAAUUUCCGCAAAGCUGAGUGUGCGUGUGACAGGUGCUGAUAAGGCUAGAAAAGUAGGUGCCUCUUCGAUUUCUAAGAUCGGCCCUCGUGGUCUCUAAGCAGCCCAGCUUUUGAGAAAGUGAGCGCCUCUUCGAUUGAUUCGGAAAACGAUGCCUCUUCGAUUUUUGAGAAAGCAAUCAUGUUGGGGGUCUGUCUCUCGAGAUUCGGGGAGCAGUGUCUCUUCGAUUUUUAAGAAAGUAAUCAUGUUGGGAGUCUGGCUCUUGAGAUUCGGAGGGCGGUGCCUCUUCGAUUUUGGAGCAAGCAAUCUUGUUGGGAGUGUUUUCUCGAAUGUGAGUAAAGGUUGGGCAUGUUUGCUAGUCUACCUUGCCACGAAGCACAGAGGUUGACACACAGCGACUUUCUAAUUAUCCAGCAAUGGUACUGUUCCUUUACCCUCUCUUCGAUUUUUAAGAAAGUAGUCAUGUUGGGAGUCUGGCUCUCGAGAUUCGGAGGACGGUGCCUCUUCGAUUUUGGAGCAAGCAAUCUUAUUGGGAGUGUUUUCUCGAAUGUGAGUAAAGGUUGGGCAUGUUUGGGCAUGUUUGCUAGUCUACCUUGCCACGAAGCACAGAGGUUUACACACAGGGACUUUCCAAUUAUCCAGCAGUGGUACUGUUCCUUUACCCUUGUGGGUAAUAAUAUGGUAGCUAGACCUUCAAAAUUUAUGGGUCUAAACUUUGUUAGUGCUGUUUCUUUGCUAUUCUUUUACCCUUCUUGGUCAGAGCGAUGUAGUGGGAGCUGCAAGCUUCACGUGCUCAACUUUGGCAAAGAACUUUGGCAAAGUUAUCUGUGGUACCCAUGAGCUAUUGUUGCGUGUGGGAAGUGGGUGAUUGAAUAGUAAGAUUCAUGUGUUUUCUACUUCACCAGAAGUCUUCGACAGAAUGCCCAUAAUUUCCGCAAAGCUGAGUGUGCGUGUGACAGGUGCUGACAAGGCUGGAAAAGUAGGUGCCUCUUCGAUUUCUGAGAUCGGCCCUCGUGGUCUCUGAGGAGCCCAGCUUUUGAGAAAGCGAGCACCUCUUCGAUUUCUGAGAUCGGCCUUCGUGGUCUUUGAGCAGCCCAGCUUUUGAGAAAGCAAACGCCUUUUCGAUUUCUGCGUUCAACCCUCGUGGUCGCUAAGCAGCCCAGCUUUUGAGAAAGCAAACGCCUCUUCGAUUUCUGAGCAGGCGCCUCUUCGAUUUCUGAAGCUCCGUCGAGUGCAGAUUUGUAUAGGGGCUGGCAUUAAGUUCCAAAGCACACUUGAAUCUCCACCAGUAGAAGCUCCAUUCUUGCACUUCUAAGAUCUUGAUUUGUCCGACCUCUUCUCUCUUCAACACCUUUGAAAAUGUCUGGCCCCUCCGACCGUCGUUUUGACUUGAACCUUGUUGAAGAUGCAGCCCCGCCUUCUCCAGACAACAUAUGGCGCCCAUCCUUCGUCUCCCCUACUGGUCCUCUUACCGGUGGGGAUUCCGUGAUGAAGAAUGAUAUGACCGCUGUGGUGGUGGCCAGGAACCUUCUUACUCCCAAAGAUAACAGACUACUUUCCAAACGGUUUGAUGAGUUAGCUGUUAAGGAUUCGCUGGCUCUCAGUGUUCAGUGUGCAGGUUCUGUGUCUAAUAUGGCCCAACGCCUAUUUGCUCGAACCCGCCAAGUUGAAUCAUUGGCGGCUGAAGUGAUGAGUCUCAAACAGGAGAUUAGAGGGCUCAAGCAUGAGAAUAAACAGUUGCACCGGCUAGCACAUGACUAUGCUACAAACAUGAAGAGGAAGCUUGACCAGAUGAAGGAAACUGAUGGUCAGGUUUUACUUGAUCAUCAGAGAUUUGUGGGUUUGUUCCAAAGGCAUUUAUUGCCUUCAUAUUCUAGGGCUGUACCGCAUAAUGAAGCUCCAAAUGAUCAACCUCUGAUGCCUCCCCCUUCUAGGGUUCUGUCCAGUACUGAGGCUCCGAAUAAUCCCCCUCCGGUGCCUUCUCUUUCUGGCGCUCUACCGACUGCUGAGACUUCUCCUAAGCAACCUUUGUGAAGGCUCCCUCUUGUUUGUUUAUUUUGACACAUGUAUAUGUACAUAUUUGUAGCUUAUCGGGGAAAUCAAUAAAUAAGCUUUCCUUCAUUUCAACGUAUUGUGUUAAAUACACUAAAGCCUUAUUCGCUAAGUUCUUUGAAUUUUCUUUUGUUGAAGCUUUCUGAGUGGAGCAUGUAGGUUGGGGUAGUGUUCCCUUAAUUUCCCGAGUGAGGAAAACUUCUCGGUUGGAGACUUGGAAAAUCCAAGUCACUGAGUGGGAUCGGCUAUAUGAAUCCAAGUCACUGAGUGGGAUCGGCUAUUCCUUUACCCUGCUUGGUCAUAGCACGGUAGUGGGAGCUGUCAACUUCACAUGUUUUAACUCUGUCGGAGCACUUUGAAAAAGUGGUCUGUGGUAUCUGGAAAGCUGAUGUUGCGUGUGAAGAUAACAGACAAGCUUUAUCCAAGGAGAUCCGGCUCUUGAAGUUGGGAAAGUGGUGCCUCUUCGGUUUUCGAACAAGCAUUCCUGUCGGGGAUCUCGCUCUCGAGAUUCGGAGAACGAUGCCUCUUCGAUUUUUGAGAAAGCAAUCCUGCUGGGGGUCUGGCUCUCGAGAUUCGGAGAGCGGUGUCUUCGAUUUUUGAGAAAGUAAUCAUGUUGGGAGUCUGGCUCUCGAGAUUCGGAGGGCGGUGCCUCUUCGAUUUUGGAGCAAGCAAUCUUGUUGGGAGUGUUUUCUCGAAUGUGAGUAAAGGUUGGGCAUGUUUGCUAGUCUACCUUGCCACGAAGCACAGAGGUUGACACACAGGGACUUUCCAAUUAUCCAGCAGUGGUACUGUUCAUUUACCCUCUCUUCGAUUUUUGAGAAAGUAAUCAUGUUAGGAGUCUGGCUCUCGAGAUUCGGAGGGCGGUGCCUCUUCGAUUUUGGAGCAAGCAAUCUUGUUGGGGGUGUUUUCUCGAAUGUGAGUAAAGGUUGGGCAUGUUUGCUAGUCUACCUUGCCACGAAGCACAGAGGUUGACACACAGGGACUUUCCAAUUAUCCAGCAGUGGUACUGUUCCUUUACCCUCUCUUCGAUUUAUGAGAAAGUAAUCAUGUUGGGAGUCUGGCUCUCGAGAUUCGGAGGGCGAUGCCUCUUCGAUUUUGGUGCAAGCAAUCUUGUUGGGAGUGUUUUCUCGAAUGUGAGUAAAGGUUGGGCAUGUUUGCUAGUCUACCUUGCCACGAAGCACAGAGGUUGACACACCGGGACUUUCCAAUUAUCCAGCAGUGGUACUGUUCCUUUACCCUUGUGGGUAAUAAUAUGGUAGCUAGGCCUUCAAAAUUUAUGUGUCUAAACUUUGUUAGUGUUGUUUCUUUGCUAUUCUUUUACCCUCUUGGUCAGAGCGAUGUAGUGAGAGCUACAAGCUUCAUGUGUCUCAACUUUGUCAGAGAACUUUGGCAAAGUUAUAUGUGAUACCCAUGAGCUACUGUUGCGUGUGGGAAGUGGGUGAUUGAACAGUACGAUUCAUGUGCUUUCUACUUCGCUAGAAAUCUUCGACAGAAUGCCCAUAAUUUCCGCAAAGCUGAGUGUGCGUGUGACAGGUGCUGACAAGGCUGGAAAAGUAGUCUCCACUUUGUCAGAGAACUUUGGCAAAGUUAUAUGUGGUACCCAUGAGCUACUGUUGCGUGUGGGAAGUGGGUGAUUGAACAGUACGAUUCAUGUGUUUUCUACUUCGCCAGAAAUCUUCGACAGAAUGCCCAUAAUUUCCGCAAAGCUGGGUGCGUGUGACAGGUGCUGACAAGGCUGGAAAAGUAGGUGCCUCUUCGAUUUCUGAGAUCGGCCCUCAUGGUCUCUGAGCAGCCCAGCUUUUGAGAAAGCAAACCUCUUCGAUUUCUGAGAUCAGCCCUCGUGGUCUCUGAGCAGCCCAGCUUUUGAGAAAGCAAACCUCUUCGAUUUCUGAGGUCGGCCUUCGUGGUCUUUGAGCAGCCUAGCUUUUGAGAAAGCAAACGCCUCUUCGAUUUCUGAGAUCGACCCUCGUGGUCUCUGAGCCGCCCAGCUUUUAAGAAAGCAAACGCCUCUUCGAUUUCUGAGCAGGCGCCUCUUCGAUUUCUGAAGCUUCGUCGAGUGCAGAUUUUUAUAGGGGCUGACAUUAAGUUCCAAAGCACACUUGAAUAUCCACCAGUAGAAGCUCCAUUCUUGCACUUCUAAGAUCUUGAUUUGUCCGACCUCUUCUCUAUUCAACACCUUUGAAAAUGUCUGGCCCCUCCGACCGUCGUUUUGACUUGAACCUUGUUGAAGAGGCAGCCCCGCCUUCUCCAGACAACAUAUGGCGCCCAUCCUUCGUCUCCCCUACUGGUCCUCUUACCGUUGGGGAUUCCGUGAUGAAGAAUGAUAUGACCGCUGCGGUAGUGGCCAUGAACCUUCUCACUCCCAAAGAUAACAGACUACUUUCCAAACGGUCUGAUGAGUUGGCUGUUAAGGAUUCUCUGGCUCUUAGUGUUCAGUGUGCAGGUUAUGUGUCUAAUAUGGCCCAACGCCUAUUUGCUCGAACCCGCCAAGUUGAAUCAUUGGCUGCUGAAGUGAUGAGUCUCAAACAGGAUAUUAGAGGGCUCAAGCAUGAGAAUAAACAGUUGCACCGGCUCGCACAUGACUAUGCUACAAACAUGAAGAGGAAGCUUGACCAGAUGAAGGAAUCUAAUGGUCAGGUUUUACUUGAUCAUCAAAGAUUUGUGGGUUUGUUCCAAAGGCAUUUAUUGCCUUCGUCUUCUGGGGCUGUACCGCGUAAUGAAUCUUCAAAUGAUCAACCUCUGAUGCCUCCUCCUUCUAGGGUUCUGUCCAGUACCGAGGCUCUGAAUGAUCCCCCUCCGGUGCCUUCUCUUUCUGGGGCUCUACCGACUGCUAAGACUUCUCCUAAGCAACCUUUGUGAAGGCUCCCUCUUGUUUGUUUAUUUUGACUCAAGUAUAUGUACAUAUUUGUAACUUAUCGGGGAUAUCAAUAAAUAAGCUUUCCUUCAUUUCAACGUAUUGUGUUAAAUCACCAAAGCCUUCUUCGCUAAGUUCUUUGAAUUUUCUUUUGUUGAAGCUUGUAUGUUGAAGCUUUGUGAGUGGAGCAUGUAGGUUGAGGUAGUGUUCCCUUAAUUUCCCGAGCGAGGACAACUUCUCGGUUGGAGACUUGGAAAAUCCAAGUCACUGAGUAGGAUCGGCUAUAUGAAUCUUAGAACACCAUUGUGUUCUGUAGGCACAACACCACCAAAGGAAAGAAACCUAGUGAUCACAUACAUUUUGAACAUUGCCAAUAAAAGAGCAAUCAGAUCAAAAUAAUACAGGCGAUGCCAGAAAUUGAUUCAAAUUUGUAGAAAAACUACACUCAAAAUACCCAAAACGAGAAAAGGAUUAGGCCACACAUUACCAUCCACUCCAAUUAUCGGUCCACAUUUUGGGUCUCUUUUCAGGAAGUCGGGGUCCAUUGAUCACAAUAAAAUCCAUUGCAAGUGCUGAUCUGUAGGUAGUUAAUAUAGCAUGCCAGUAGAGCAAAGAAACCAUCUUGAGAAUUCGUCUUUAUACAGUCAAUACAAAAGAAUACAAAUGAAAACUGACUACAAAAGCCUCACCACGGAUGCAAGAGCAUCAGCUUGCUGACACAUGACCCAGGGUACCCCUGUAUCCAAAGACACGGCCAUGCUUGCUGCCCACUUAAUAUAGGUUUGGGCAGCAGCCCCAUAUGCUUGAUCAAUGUUUCCAUACUCGAUUUCAAUCUGGUAUAAUUGAAACAAUUAACCCAUAACUCAAAUUGGAAUAUUCUUAAAACGAAAAACAUUGGGUAAAUAAUAAAAAGAAUAAAGAAAAUUUUAAACCUGGGAUCAAAUGAUGGGUCCUCCCUGAGAUGCAUAAAGCUUUUCCUUCUUCAUCAUAUCAAAAUUUUUUGCCGUGAACCGCUGCAUUUCUGCCUGAGCCACAUAAAUUCUAAUAAAACACUGAAGUUGAGAAAAUACCAAGAAAGGAAACACAAACACAGGCAAUUGGGAUAAAGUGGAGAAGAAGAAACCUUGAACAGCUCAUUGUCCGUUCGCAAUUGAAUUCCGGGUAUGAAAUGCACCCAAAGAGGAAAGCCACUGUUGAAAAAUUGAAACGCCAAUCACACAAUAAAACUUCUUCAGAAAGUACUGAAAAGUAAGUUGAUCAUCAUAAAAGCAACUUCCUUUUUCUAUUUCUCAAAAAAGGAAAAUGUAAAAAGACCAAUUAAAAUUCAAUUAAAUUCAUAAUACACAUAGUUCCAUUCUGCGCACACAUAUGCACCAAUUCGAAGGUGCACUAGAAGGCCAGCUUCUGCUACUGUCUUCACAAAUUUUACCAAAUCUUUUCUUCCACCAAAAUCAUACUGCAAGAAGUUGUAUGUUCCACCAGUCACCAUCAUAACAAAGACAAAAUGCACAAUUCAAGAUAACCAACAACAACAACAACAACAAAGCCUUUUCCCACUAAGUGGGGUCGGCUAUAUGAAUCCUAGAACGCCAUUGCGCUCGGUUUUGUGUCAUGUCCUCCGUUAGAUCCAAGUACUCUAAGUCUUUUCUUAGAGUCUCUUCCAAAGUUUUCAUAGGUCUUCCUCUACCCCUUCGGCCCUGAACCUCUGUCCCGUAGUCACAUCUUCGAAUCGGAGCAUCAGUAGGCCUUCUUUGCACAUGUCCAAAUCACCGGAACCGAUUUUCUCUCAUCUUUCCUUCGGCUACUCCUACUUUACCUCGGAUAUCCUCAUUCCCAAUCUUAUCCUUUCUCGUGUGCCUACACAUCCCACGAAGCAUCCUCAUCUCCGCCACACCCAUUUUGUGUACGUGUUGAUGCUUCACCGCCCAACAUUCUGUGCCAUACAACAUCGUUGGCCUUAUUGCCGUCCUACAAAAUUUUCCCUUGAGCUUCAGUGGCCUACGACGGUCACACAACACGCCGGAUGCACUCUUACACUUCAUCCAUCCAACUUGUAUUCUAUGGUUGAGAUCUCCAUCUAAUUCUCCGUUCUCUUGUACGAUAGAUCCUAGGUAGCGAAAAUGGUCGCUUUUUGUGAUCUUCGCUAGAUUGCUCCGGUCAUUAGUGUGGAUAAGUAUACAAAUGGAUAGAGAUAUGAAAGCAAACACAAGAUGUACGUGGUUCACCCAGAUUGGCUACGUCCACGGAAUAGAGGAGUUCUCAUUAAUUGUGAAGGGUUUACACAAGUACAUAGGUUCAAGCUCUCCUUUAGUGAGUACAAGUGAAUGAUUUAGUACAAAUGACAUUAGGAAAUAUUGUGGGAGAAUGAUCUCGUAAUCACGAACUUCUAAGUAUCGGAGUGUGGUAUCGUCUUGACUUGCCUUAUCCGUCUCAUAGGUAGAUGUGGCAUCUUCUCUGGAAGUACUCUUCCUCCAUCCAGGGGUGGUAUCUUUAACUGGUAGAGAUGCACAAGGUAAUGUAUCAAUUUCACUUGAAGCUUACUUGUAGUUUCAGGCUUGGUCAAGCGCGAUACAAACCAUGUAGUAGGAGUCCCCCAAGUCGCCGAGCUAGGGGAUCUGCUGAAAGAGGUGACAGACAAGGUAAGCAAUUAGAGCUCCGGCUGAUUGUUCACAUUCUCCCUAUCUUGCAGGCAGCA